GGAAGUGUAGUUCAGUGGUAGGUCUUACCUGGCAUAUGUAAGGCCCUGGGUUCCAUUCCCAGCAACACCA
This 70-nucleotide transfer RNA is filed under the name Marmota monax (woodchuck). RNAcentral's name for it is "tRNA.Cys". The record is from RNAcentral. Lineage: Eukaryota; Metazoa; Chordata; Mammalia; Rodentia; Sciuridae.